This 239-nucleotide ribosomal RNA is filed under the name uncultured Lactobacillus sp. Its description in RNAcentral is "partial 16S ribosomal RNA". It matches the Rfam family "Bacterial small subunit ribosomal RNA", at positions 125 to 356 of the family's 1533-position model. Lineage: Bacteria; Bacillati; Bacillota; Bacilli; Lactobacillales; Lactobacillaceae. The record is from RNAcentral.
CCGUAGCCCAAGAGAUCGGGAUAACACCUGGAAACAGAUGCUAAUACCGGAUAACAACAGAUGAUGCCUAUCAACUGUUUAAAAGAUGGUUCUGCCAUCACUCUUGGAUGGACCUGCGGUGCAUUAGCUAGUUGGUAGGGUAACGGCCUACCAAGGCGAUGAUGCAUAGCCGAGUUGAGAGACUGAUCGGCCACAUUGGGACUGAGACACGGCCCAAACUCCUACGGGAGGCAGCAGCG